Molecule: unclassified non-coding RNA, 190 nt
Filed under: uncultured Glomeraceae
Lineage: Eukaryota; Fungi; Glomeromycota; Glomeromycetes; Glomerales; Glomeraceae
Description: sequence contains ITS2
Source: RNAcentral
UAAUAAAUAAAUUGUGGUUGUUAUUACUUUUCGUGGUAACGCAUCGGAAUUGAGUCGUCUUACCUUCGGUUAAGUGACUUAAAGUUUUAUCAUACGAUUUCGAAACGUAUUUAAUGUAUUAUGUACGUUCACGAAUAUCGAAUGUUUUAUUAGGUGCGUUCAUUUCAUGAAUUCGCGUCUAUAAUUUUUU